This 4825-nucleotide long non-coding RNA is filed under the name Hordeum vulgare. Its description in RNAcentral is "long non-coding RNA (HVUL_LNC008467)". The record is from RNAcentral. Lineage: Eukaryota; Viridiplantae; Streptophyta; Magnoliopsida; Poales; Poaceae.
CCUUUUUGUACUUAAGAUGAAUCAUGUCAUGAAAGCAUGUUUAUUGCUAUUAUCCGUUAAUUAAAAGAUGACAAAUGUAGGAUCGUGUUCCCUUAUUCCAAGAUGUUACAACCAGAAACUUGAUUGCCUUAUGCAAUUCCCUGAUAAACUAUUACACAUAAAAUUAGGCACAUGAAACCAUACAUGUUACCAUACCAUUUAGGAACUACUGUAAUAAAACACAUACCUCAUACAAUUUAACAACCAUGGCAACAAGAAAUAUUUCAACCCUAUUCCAUCUACUAUUCAUAGUUUGGACAUGCCCCAUCUACUUAUUGGCUCAGAAGGACUAAGGCCCGAGGCCUCUUCUUUCAAGGCCUUAAAACAGUCAUGCAGUAAGAUCAUUCCUGAUUGUAAAUGGCAUUUAUAGUUAAUUGAUAUUUUCAUAUGCAAUAUCUAAAUUGUAAAGUCUAUAAAUCAAUAUUUUAAAAAGAAUUAAUGCUGCGGGACAGGUAUUUUGGCUCCCGGGUGCAUUUGCACCCGGUUAAACAGUAACCCGAAAAUUAAUAGUAAAUGUUUUCAAUUAAUUCUGAAUUUAUUAAUAGAUAUGCGUGUUACUUUCUCAAGCAUGCUUGACAAUUUUCUCGGGAAACAUAGCAGUGGUGUUUAGUCGGUGAAGUAAAUAAAUUUGGGUAUUACAUUAUUGAUGUUUAAUUUGUUUUUUGUUUUUUGCACGCGACAAACAAAAGAGCUUUCCAUCAUGCCCUAAUGGAACCUCAUAGGCUGAAAUGGACAUGCGUGAUCGUAUUCCAACGGAUCCAGAUAUCUUGGGCAAGAUCUCGGACUGCAGUUCCGAAACAUGUCGAUGACCAGAUCGAGGAGGACUGAUCAUGCAGGAAGUUGUCGUGAUGCAAGGGGAGUGCGAUGAGCUCGAGGACAGCUACCAUGGCCAAGGACAAACCAACCUAGAUCCAGAUCUAGAUCGAUGGGGGGGGGGGAUCACCACGACUACGGGCUGCAUACAUGCGCAGCCACCACCGUCCUUCCGCCGCCCAGGCACCCACGACUGCACGAAGGAGUGCAAUGCCUUGAGCUGCCGCAACAUCCCCCAGCUCAACGACAGUCGCCCAGGAAUGCCACGGCGCUGCCCCCGCCCGAUCCAUGCGAACUUUGCCUGGCAAAGAGCAUAGUGCGGCGGCGAGGGGAGGGGGAGCAUGGGGUAAGGCCUUGAACGGGCAUGGAUUCUCCUCCGCCCGAGUGGCACCGGGAAGGACGACACGGGGGCAUGAGUCCUUCGUACGCCUACAGUAUAAGGUUCGCUUAACAAUGGCGAUGUGUCUCACUAGUAGUAGAUACAUAUAUUAUGAUCGUUUUCUCUUUGGUGUCACUUUCAUAUACUGUGUACGUAUUACAUAGGGGUACGUAGCGUUGCCCCUCGGGUGAAAAUCUUUCCUCCAAAAUAUUCUUAAUAACUAGUCUUUUGUCUACCGUUUACCAGAAAAAAAAAUAGUCAAUCAUCUACCCAAAAAAAAAAAACAAUACUCAACUAGUCACGCGAUCAACAUGACAACAUGGUGGCCAGAGUUUUCUCCUGUUGAUUUUUAGACGAUGACGCGCACACGAUCAACCGAUACUACGCGGGUCCUUGGUCGCCACGUAAGGAUGGGCAGAGCGUCCAACUGUUCUAUGGUUUCCAACGAUGACAUUUCCUUUUAUUGACAGGAGAUCUGUCAAAUUCAUUCAAUAAAAAAAUGUAUUACAAGUUACACAUCCAAAGAAACGAUGUAAGCAUAAGUUGAGUGUUAAAAAGAAAAAUAAAAAAUAGAAAAAUGACUGGUCGGUUUAUGAACAAGAACCACACGAAAACAUAAACAUUGUAUAUCUAGACCAAGCCUAAAGCAUAUCUAGACCAAGCCUAAAGCACCGCAAUACAGACAUCAAUUCAGAAGGCAAACACCAUAGAACAAACCUGGCCUGGUCAGGCACCCAAACACUGACACCGCUAUCAAAGUGCACUCCCAAAACCCUCGUAUAUAUUAAACCAGGCUGCCACAAGCAUAUUUUUAAAACUCGGCGACAUCAAAGAGGAUUGCUAUGUGCAAUCACUUCUGCUUCGGUACACCCCGCCUAACAUGGUCAUUUCACGUAUACGCUCUAAUUGUUUUAUGUACACGCACACCCUCCCCUUAUGGGCCGGCCCAUUCAUGCUUUGUUUAUUUUUAUUUUUGAAACAGCAAAAAGAGAAUGUGUUGUGCAGGAUUCGAACUAUCCACCUUUUAGAAUUACCACAGCCGCACAAACAAACUAGGCACGCGAUUUGACAUGCUACAUACUUUUUUUUUUUAACACAAAAGUGCUAUUCACACUAUUCUUUGUUUGUUUUUCUUUUUCUCUUUAUAUUUUGGAAAAGUCUAUCCUUCAACCGGCUGAUCUGCGCAAUCCAUCCACCACCUGCUCGUCCGUUCGAUCCCGCCAUCGCAAUCGUUUCUUGACGUUUUCUGAAACUGGAUCGUUGUUUCCGCAACUGGAGCGUUGUUUCGGAAAACUGCCCAGUCCAUGUCUCCGCCUCCGCCUCAGCCCCGACAACCUCGCCGCCGCCGGCCUGCUACGGCUCGCCGCCCUCCGCCGUCGGCCUCGCGUGCCCUCCGUUGCCGCCCCUGCUCGUCGCCCGCCCGCGGUCCCACCGGCCUGCCACAAGGCCCGCAACCCCUGAUCGGCGGCGUCGCCGGCCUGCGUGUGGCCCCGCCGCACUCCGCAGCCGGCCUGCGCGCGGCACCGCCAGCCUGCCAGCGGCCUCGCGUGCCCCUCUGUCACCGCCCCGCCGCCCCUGCUUCUGCAACGUGACUUUCGUUGCAAAAUUUUCUGAAACUCGACCGUUGUUGCAAAAAAUUCUUCCGUAAAAAUACUUAUGUUACAGAAAGAUGAAGAAAAAAAUUCUGCAACAAGCAAAUUGUUUCUGAAACUCGACCGUUGUUUCAGGAAUUAACGGAUCCAAAGUUUAUUUCUUGCAAAAAAGCGAAAGUUUCUGCAACUCGAGCGUCGUUUCAGGAAUUAAGUACAGGAGCGGAUCGGACGCUACGCGCGAGAUCUAAUGGUUGUCGAGGCGGUGGAUGUUUAAUAAAUAUCCACCGAUAGAUGCGUAGCAGCCCCCUUAUAUUUUCCUUAUAUUUUUUUGGUUUCCUUUUCCAUUCUAAAUGCCCGAGCUUUCUAAAACUGGUGACAUUUUUUCAAAAUUGAUAAUUUUUUCUUCAAUUUCGUUAAUUUUUUUUCAAAAUCGGUGAGCUUUUUCCAAAACUCAUGAAGUUUUUGCUAAAUUCGUAAACUAUUUCCCAAAUAGGCAAACUUUUUUUGAAUGUUAAUGAACUUUUUUAUAAAAUUGAUGAAAUAUUUUUCAGAAUAAUUAACCUUCUUUGAAGCAUCCAUGUCAAGUUUGGAAGAAACAAUAUAUUUAAAAUCAUAAUUUAAAUAGGUACUUAAAAUUGUUAUUGGUUUGGUAAGAAACUGUCUCAAUCUAAUGAUGCCUAGACCACCACAACCCCAUGGGGGGAACGGGUAGAAUUUAUUGAAUAAAAGGUGAAUCAACCUAGGUAUGUGUAAAAGGUAGGUGAGUGAUGGAGGAGUUCUUCAAUGCCCACACACCGUACUGCAUUUUUAUUCACCUACCUCCAGCUUUGACCGUCUUGAUCACUACAUGGCUAUUAUAAAUUUGCACUCGGUCAUGAUCGAUGUUAGUGUUCACCUGUCUUGCCUAGGCUAGGCAGCUACAUUCGAGCGGUUGUGUCGUCGCUUCACAACAUGAAAGGGUUACUCCCUGAAUGCUAGCCAUGUAUGAGCGCACGCCAUUGAUUAACUAGUAUGAGGUAGGAUUGUGAGGUAUCAGAAUUUUGACACAGCAGUAAACGAAAGGAGGUAUCUGCACAAGGGCUUCUAUGUGUACGACUAGUUCAUGCGCAGUUAUAGAGGUGAUAGAUGCUCCAUCCCAAGAGCAAGGAACGGGAAAAAAAGGGAAUCGAGCUAGGGUGAGAUUGCGGAGUUGUGUGGUGAGCGUGUUAAGAAUGUGUCGCGGAUGGAAGAGACGGGCUGGCUCGCUACGGUUUGAAUGAGCUUGUCAUAAUCAACGGUGCUGCUCCACCAGGGAGACCGUUAGGCCUGGAGCACAGUAGGACACUAGUGUUUGCAUGCUCACUUGAGCGCCCCGACCUUCAUGUGAUGAGAUCGUUGUGGUCACGCCCACCUCUCUAUGAAAUUGGGAUUAUAGGUAGUUCUCUCUCUCUCCCUCCCUCCCUCCAUCCAUCCAUCCAUCUCUCUCUCUCCCUCCCUCCCUCUCUCUCUCUCUCUUCCUCCCUCUCCCUCUCCCUCCCUCUCUCUCUCUCUCACACACACACACAUACACACACACACAAAAACAUCAUGCGAUAUUUUGAAAGAAGACAAAUUUUGACAAAAAUCAGAAAAUGUGUCACCAAUCACAAAACAAGAGCGGACGAUGGAUACAUAUGCAUGGUAUAUCACGAGCAUGAUAAACGGAACUGCUCGGCACAUCAUAAGAUUAACGGAACUGCUCGGCGCAUGAUAUUGGUGCACGAUUUUGUUACCAGCACGACGUGGCGGAUGCGUUGCUUCGAGCAAUUCAUGUAGGCGCACCUCUCCUUGAUGGCAGGUUGCACCGCGUGAUUGACGGCCGCCUCGAUGGAGCUGACGAGCUGGGCUUUCCAAUCCAUGGAAUUAUUGAUGAAUGGUGAAAUUGGAAGGAAAGGAAGGUGGGAAUGGCUCUGAAUUUUAAUUGUUAGCAACACUCUAGUAUAUAGACCAAUUGUUCACUGAUUCUAACUAUAAGCCAUUGAUU